This 429-nucleotide ribosomal RNA is filed under the name Pseudomonadota bacterium. RNAcentral describes it as "Proteobacteria bacterium partial 16S ribosomal RNA". It matches the Rfam family "Bacterial small subunit ribosomal RNA", at positions 355 to 776 of the family's 1533-position model. The record is from RNAcentral. Lineage: Bacteria; Pseudomonadati; Pseudomonadota.
UGGGGAAUAUUGGACAAUGGGCGAAAGCCUGAUCCAGCCAUGCCGCGUGUGUGAAGAAGGUCUUCGGAUUGUAAAGCACUUUAAGUUGGGAGGAAGGGCAGUAAGCGAAUACCUUGCUGUUUUGACGUUACCGACAGAAUAAGCACCGGCUAACUCUGUGCCAGCAGCCGCGGUAAUACAGAGGGUGCAAGCGUUAAUCGGAAUUACUGGGCGUAAAGCGCGCGUAGGUGGUUCGUUAAGUUGAAUGUGAAAGCCCCGGGCUCAACCUUGGAACUGCAUCCAAAACUGGCGAGCUAGAGUAGGGAAGAGGGUGGUGGAAUUUCCUGUGUAGCGGUGAAAUGCGUAGAUAUAGGAAGGAACACCAGUGGCGAAGGCGACCACCUGGGCUCAUACUGACACUGAGGUGCGAAAGCGUGGGGAGCAAACAGG